This 416-nucleotide ribosomal RNA is filed under the name uncultured microorganism. RNAcentral's name for it is "bacterial SSU rRNA". It matches the Rfam family "Bacterial small subunit ribosomal RNA", at positions 9 to 420 of the family's 1533-position model. The record is from RNAcentral.
GAGUUUGAUCGUGGCUCAGAUUGAACGCUGGCGGCAUGCCUUACACAUGCAAGUCGAACGGCAGCAUGAUCUAGCUUGCUAGAUUGAUGGCGAGUGGCGAACGGGUGAGUAAUACAUCGGAACGUGCCCUGUAGUGGGGGAUAACUAGUCGAAAGAUUAGCUAAUACCGCAUACGACCUGAGGGUGAAAGUGGGGGACCGCAAGGCCUCAUGCUAUAGGAGCGGCCGAUGUCUGAUUAGCUAGUUGGUGGGGUAAAGGCCCGACCAAGGCGACGAUCAGUAGCUGGUCUGAGAGGACGAUCAGCCACACUGGGACUGAGACACGGCCCAGACUCCUACGGGAGGCAGCAGUGGGGAAUUUUGGACAAUGGGCGAAAGCCUGAUCCAGCAAUGCCGCGUGUGUGAAGAAGGCCUCGG